Molecule: ribosomal RNA, 547 nt
Filed under: uncultured Prevotella sp.
Lineage: Bacteria; Pseudomonadati; Bacteroidota; Bacteroidia; Bacteroidales; Prevotellaceae
Description: bacterial SSU rRNA
Rfam family: Bacterial small subunit ribosomal RNA
Source: RNAcentral
GAUGAACGCUAGCUACAGGCUUAACACAUGCAAGUCGCGGGGCAGCAUGGGGGUUGCUUGCAACCCCUGAUGGCGACCGGCGCACGGGCGAGUAACGCGUAUCCAACCUGCCCUUCACCACGGGAUAACCCGGCGAAAGUCGGACUAAUACCGUAUGUUGUCCAUUGACGGCAUCCGAUUUGGACGAAAGGCUUAGCGGUGAGGGAUGGGGAUGCGUCCGAUUAGCUUGACGGCGGGGUAACGGCCCACCGUGGCGACGAUCGGUAGGGGUUCUGAGAGGAAGGUCCCCCACACUGGAACUGAGACACGGUCCAGACUCCUACGGGAGGCAGCAGUGAGGAAUAUUGGUCAAUGGGCGGAAGCCUGAACCAGCCAAGUAGCGUGCAGGAUGACGGCCCUAUGGGUUGUAAACUGCUUUUAUGCGGGGAUAAAGGGGCCCACGUGUGGGCUUUUGCAGGUACCGCAUGAAUAAGGACCGGCUAAUUCCGUGCCAGCAGCCGCGGUAAUACGGAAGGUCCCGGGCGUUAUCCGGAUUUAUUGGGUUUAA